RNAcentral lists this ribosomal RNA (253 nucleotides) under uncultured bacterium. Its description in RNAcentral is "partial 16S ribosomal RNA". It matches the Rfam family "Bacterial small subunit ribosomal RNA", at positions 524 to 776 of the family's 1533-position model. The record is from RNAcentral.
UACAGAGGUCUCAAGCGUUGUUCGGAAUUACUGGGCGUAAAGCGAGUGUAGGUGGUUGUCCAAGUUGGAUGUGAAAGCCUUGAGCUCAACUCAAGAAAUGCAUUCAGGACUGGGCGGCUAGAGGACCGGAGAGGAUAGUGGAAUUCCCAGUGUAGUGGUGAAAUACGUAGAGAUUGGGAAGAACACCAGUGGCGAAGGCGGCUAUCUGGACGGUUUCUGACACUAAGACUCGAAAGCGUGGGGAGCAAACAGG